UACGUAGGUGGCAAGCGUUGUCCGGAAUUAUUGGGCGUAAAGCGCGCGCAGGCGGUCUGCUAAGUUUGGAGUGACAGUUGGUGGCUUAACUGCCAAAGUGCUUCGAAAACUGACAGACUUGAGGGCUUCAGAGGGACACGGAAUUCCGGGUGGAGUGGUGAAAUGCGUAGAGAUCCGGAGGAACACCAAAGGCGAAGGCAGUGUCCUGGGGAGUACCUGACGCUCAGGUGCGAAAGCCAGGGGAGCGAACGGG
Molecule: ribosomal RNA, 253 nt
Filed under: uncultured bacterium
Lineage: Bacteria
Description: partial 16S ribosomal RNA
Rfam family: Bacterial small subunit ribosomal RNA
Source: RNAcentral